GAUGGUGGCUCAGUGGUAGAGCAUUUGCCUAGAAUGUAUGAGACUCUGGGUUCAAUCCCCAGCACCACCA
Ictidomys tridecemlineatus (thirteen-lined ground squirrel) is the source of this 70-nucleotide non-coding RNA. The record is from Rfam. NCBI's taxonomy places the organism in Eukaryota, Metazoa, Chordata, Mammalia, Rodentia, Sciuridae.